GGGUUGUGAGGUUAAGCGACUAAGCGUACACGGUGGAUGCCCUGGCAGUCAGAGGCGAUGAAGGACGUGCUAAUCUGCGAUAAGCGUCGGUAAGGUGAUAUGAACCGUUAUAACCGGCGAUUUCCGAAUGGGGAAACCCAGUGUGAUUCGUCACACUAUCAUUAACUGAAUCCAUAGGUUAAUGAGGCGAACCGGGGGAACUGAAACAUCUAAGUACCCCGAGGAAAAGAAAUCAACCGAGAUUCCCCCAGUAGCGGCGAGCGAACGGGGAGCAGCCCAGAGCCUGAAUCAGUAUGUGUGUUAGUGGAAGCGUCUGGAAAGGCGCGCGAUACAGGGUGACAGCCCCGUACACAAAAAUGCACAUGCUGUGAGCUCGAUGAGUAGGGCGGGACACGUGGUAUCCUGUCUGAAUAUGGGGGGACCAUCCUCCAAGGCUAAAUACUCCUGACUGACCGAUAGUGAACCAGUACCGUGAGGGAAAGGCGAAAAGAACCCCGGCGAGGGGAGUGAAAAAGAACCUGAAACCGUGUACGUACAAGCAGUGGGAGCACGCUUAGGCGUGUGACUGCGUACCUUUUGUAUAAUGGGUCAGCGACUUAUAUUCUGUAGCAAGGUUAACCGAAUAGGGGAGCCGAAGGGAAACCGAGUCUUAACUGGGCGUUAAGUUGCAGGGUAUAGACCCGAAACCCGGUGAUCUAGCCAUGGGCAGGUUGAAGGUUGGGUAACACUAACUGGAGGACCGAACCGACUAAUGUUGAAAAAUUAGCGGAUGACUUGUGGCUGGGGGUGAAAGGCCAAUCAAACCGGGAGAUAGCUGGUUCUCCCCGAAAGCUAUUUAGGUAGCGCCUCGUGAAUUCAUCUCCGGGGGUAGAGCACUGUUUCGGCAAGGGGGUCAUCCCGACUUACCAACCCGAUGCAAACUGCGAAUACCGGAGAAUGUUAUCACGGGAGACACACGGCGGGUGCUAACGUCCGUCGUGAAGAGGGAAACAACCCAGACCGCCAGCUAAGGUCCCAAAGUCAUGGUUAAGUGGGAAACGAUGUGGGAAGGCCCAGACAGCCAGGAUGUUGGCUUAGAAGCAGCCAUCAUUUAAAGAAAGCGUAAUAGCUCACUGGUCGAGUCGGCCUGCGCGGAAGAUGUAAUGGGGCUAAACCAUGCACCGAAGCUGCGGCAGCGACGCUUAUGCGUUGUUGGGUAGGGGAGCGUUCUGUAAGCCUGUGAAGGUGUGCUGUGAGGCAUGCUGGAGGUAUCAGAAGUGCGAAUGCUGACAUAAGUAACGAUAAAGCGGGUGAAAAGCCCGCUCGCCGGAAGACCAAGGGUUCCUGUCCAACGUUAAUCGGGGCAGGGUGAGUCGACCCCUAAGGCGAGGCCGAAAGGCGUAGUCGAUGGGAAACAGGUUAAUAUUCCUGUACUUGGUGUUACUGCGAAGGGGGGACGGAGAAGGCUAUGUUGGCCGGGCGACGGUUGUCCCGGUUUAAGCGUGUAGGCUGGUUUUCCAGGCAAAUCCGGAAAAUCAAGGCUGAGGCGUGAUGACGAGGCACUACGGUGCUGAAGCAACAAAUGCCCUGCUUCCAGGAAAAGCCUCUAAGCAUCAGGUAACAUCAAAUCGUACCCCAAACCGACACAGGUGGUCAGGUAGAGAAUACCAAGGCGCUUGAGAGAACUCGGGUGAAGGAACUAGGCAAAAUGGUGCCGUAACUUCGGGAGAAGGCACGCUGAUAUGUAGGUGAAGUCCCUCGCGGAUGGAGCUGAAAUCAGUCGAAGAUACCAGCUGGCUGCAACUGUUUAUUAAAAACACAGCACUGUGCAAACACGAAAGUGGACGUAUACGGUGUGACGCCUGCCCGGUGCCGGAAGGUUAAUUGAUGGGGUCAGCGCAAGCGAAGCUCUUGAUCGAAGCCCCGGUAAACGGCGGCCGUAACUAUAACGGUCCUAAGGUAGCGAAAUUCCUUGUCGGGUAAGUUCCGACCUGCACGAAUGGCGUAAUGAUGGCCAGGCUGUCUCCACCCGAGACUCAGUGAAAUUGAACUCGCUGUGAAGAUGCAGUGUACCCGCGGCAAGACGGAAAGACCCCGUGAACCUUUACUAUAGCUUGACACUGAACAUUGAGCCUUGAUGUGUAGGAUAGGUGGGAGGCUUGGAAGUGUGGACGCCAGUCUGCAUGGAGCCGACCUUGAAAUACCACCCUUUAAUGUUUGAUGUUCUAACGUUGACCCGUAAUCCGGGUUGCGGACAGUGUCUGGUGGGUAGUUUGACUGGGGCGGUCUCCUCCUAAAGAGUAACGGAGGAGCACGAAGGUUGGCUAAUCCUGGUCGGACAUCAGGAGGUUAGUGCAAUGGCAUAAGCCAGCUUGACUGCGAGCGUGACGGCGCGAGCAGGUGCGAAAGCAGGUCAUAGUGAUCCGGUGGUUCUGAAUGGAAGGGCCAUCGCUCAACGGAUAAAAGGUACUCCGGGGAUAACAGGCUGAUACCGCCCAAGAGUUCAUAUCGACGGCGGUGUUUGGCACCUCGAUGUCGGCUCAUCACAUCCUGGGGCUGAAGUAGGUCCCAAGGGUAUGGCUGUUCGCCAUUUAAAGUGGUACGCGAGCUGGGUUUAGAACGUCGUGAGACAGUUCGGUCCCUAUCUGCCGUGGGCGCUGGAGAACUGAGGGGGGCUGCUCCUAGUACGAGAGGACCGGAGUGGACGCAUCACUGGUGUUCGGGUUGUCAUGCCAAUGGCACUGCCCGGUAGCUAAAUGCGGAAGAGAUAAGUGCUGAAAGCAUCUAAGCACGAAACUUGCCCCGAGAUGAGUUCUCCCUGACUCCUUGAGAGUCCUGAAGGAACGUUGAAGACGACGACGUUGAUAGGCCGGGUGUGUAAGCGCAGCGAUGCGUUGAGCUAACCGGUACUAAUGAACCGUGAGGCUUAACCUUACAACGCCGAAGGUGUUU
This 2931-nucleotide ribosomal RNA is filed under the name Escherichia coli O26:H11 str. 2011C-3274. RNAcentral's name for it is "bacterial LSU rRNA". It matches the Rfam family "Bacterial large subunit ribosomal RNA". Lineage: Bacteria; Pseudomonadati; Pseudomonadota; Gammaproteobacteria; Enterobacterales; Enterobacteriaceae. The record is from RNAcentral.